Molecule: ribosomal RNA, 311 nt
Filed under: uncultured bacterium
Lineage: Bacteria
Description: partial 16S ribosomal RNA
Source: RNAcentral
ACGGGCGGAGUGUACAAGGCCCGGGAACGUAUUCACCGCGGCAUUCUGAUCCGCGAUUACUAAGCAAUUCCAUCUUCAUGCAGGCGGGUUGCAGCCUGCAAUCUGAACUGGGACCGUUUUUUGAGAUUCGCUUCACCUCGCGGUGUCGCUGCCCUUUGUUAACGGCCAUUGUAGUACGUGUGUAGCCCAGGUUCAUAAGGGGCAUGAUGAUUUGACGUCAUCCCCCGCCUUCCUCCGUUUUGUCAACGGCAGUCUGUCUANAGUGCUCUUGCGUAGCAACUAAAACAUAAGGGUUGCGCUCGUUGCGGGAC